Molecule: ribosomal RNA, 588 nt
Filed under: uncultured Rubrobacter sp.
Lineage: Bacteria; Bacillati; Actinomycetota; Rubrobacteria; Rubrobacterales; Rubrobacteraceae
Description: bacterial SSU rRNA
Rfam family: Bacterial small subunit ribosomal RNA
Source: RNAcentral
CCUACGGGAGGCAGCAGUCGGGAAUCUUGCACAAUGGGCGAAAGCCUGAUGCAGCAACGCCGUGUGAGCGAUGAAGGCCUUAGGGUCGUAAAGCUCUGUUGUUAGGGACGAAGGGCGAAGGGUUAAUAGCCCUUAGCCUGACGGUACCUUUCGAGGAAGCCCCGGCUAACUACGUGCCAGCAGCCGCGGUAAUACGUAGGGGGCGAGCGUUGUCCGGAAUUAUUGGGCGUAAAGGGCGCGUAGGCGGCCUGGUAAGUCUGCUGUGAAACCUUGGGGCUCAACCCCAAGCGUGCAGUGGAUACUGUCAGGCUAGAGGAUGGUAGAGGCCAGUGGAAUUCCCGGUGUAGCGGUGAAAUGCGCAGAUAUCGGGAGGAACACCAGUAGCGAAGGCGGCUGGCUGGGCCAUUCCUGACGCUGAGGCGCGAAAGCAUGGGGAGCGAACAGGAUUAGAUACCCUGGUAGUCCAUGCCGUAAACGAUGAACACUAGGUGUGGGGGGAGUCGAAUCCCUCCGUGCCGAAGCCAACGCGUUAAGUGUUCCGCCUGGGGAGUACGGCCGCAAGGCUAAAACUCAAAUGAAUUGACGGGG